Molecule: unclassified non-coding RNA, 190 nt
Filed under: soil metagenome
Description: partial internal transcribed spacer 1
Source: RNAcentral
CACAAUAAAAUAUGAAGGCUGUACGCGGCUGUGCUCUCGGGCCAGUUUUGCGGAGGCUGAAUUAUUUAUUACCCUUGUCUUUUGCGCACUUGUUGUUUCCUGGGCUGGGUUUCGCCCGCCACCAGGACCACAUCAUAAACCUUUUUAUGCAGUUGCAAUCAGCGUCAGUAUAACACAUGUAAAUCAUUUA